GCGGAAACACAGAUCGCUGCGGUCCAC
This 27-nucleotide small RNA is filed under the name Bombyx mori (domestic silkworm). RNAcentral's name for it is "ovarian small RNA-5367". The record is from RNAcentral. Lineage: Eukaryota; Metazoa; Arthropoda; Insecta; Lepidoptera; Bombycidae.